UAUCUACUCCCUCCGUCCGGAAUUACUUACCGCGGAAAUGAAUAAAAAUGGAUGUAUUUAUCACUUAAAUACGUCUAGAUACAUUCAUUUCUCCGGCAAGUAAUUCCGGACGGAGGGACUAUUUA
Non-coding RNA from Triticum urartu, 125 nucleotides. Lineage: Eukaryota; Viridiplantae; Streptophyta; Magnoliopsida; Poales; Poaceae. The record is from Rfam.